Molecule: transfer RNA, 72 nt
Filed under: Angiostrongylus costaricensis
Lineage: Eukaryota; Metazoa; Nematoda; Chromadorea; Rhabditida; Metastrongylidae
Rfam family: tRNA
About the family: Transfer RNA (tRNA) molecules are approximately 80 nucleotides in length.
Source: Rfam by way of RNAcentral
UCCCAUGUGAACUUGUUAUUAGGAAUCCUGGCUUUCACUCACGCGGCUCGGGUUCGAUUCCCGGCAUGGGAA